RNAcentral lists this transfer RNA (86 nucleotides) under Streptococcus canis. RNAcentral's name for it is "tRNA-Leu". It matches the Rfam family "tRNA". Rfam says of the family: Transfer RNA (tRNA) molecules are approximately 80 nucleotides in length. Their secondary structure includes four short double-helical elements and three loops (D, anti-codon, and T loops). Further hydrogen bonds mediate the characteristic L-shaped molecular structure. tRNAs have two regions of fundamental functional importance: the anti-codon, which is responsible for specific mRNA codon recognition, and the 3' end, to which the tRNAs corresponding amino acid is attached (by aminoacyl-tRNA synthetases). tRNAs cope with the degeneracy of the genetic code in two manners: having more than one tRNA (with a specific anti-codon) for a particular amino acid; and 'wobble' base-pairing, i.e. permitting non-standard base-pairing at the 3rd anti-codon position. Lineage: Bacteria; Bacillati; Bacillota; Bacilli; Lactobacillales; Streptococcaceae. The record is from RNAcentral.
GCGGGUUUGGCGGAAUUGGCAGACGCACCAGAUUUAGGAUCCUGUGACCGCUUUAGGUCGUGUGGGUUCAAGUCCCACUCUCCGCA